GACGAACGCUGGCGGCGUGCCUAAUACAUGCAAGUUGAGCGCUGAAGGUUGGUACUUGUACCAACUGGAUGAGCAGCGAACGGGUGAGUAACGCGUGGGGAAUCUGCCUUUGAGCGGGGGACAACAUUUGGAAACGAAUGCUAAUACCGCAUAAAAACUUUAAACACAAGUUUUAAGUUUGAAAGAUGCAAUUGCAUCACUCAAAGAUGAUCCCGCGUUGUAUUAGCUAGUUGGUGAGGUAAAGGCUCACCAAGGCGAUGAUACAUAGCCGACCUGAGAGGGUGAUCGGCCACAUUGGGACUGAGACACGGCCCAAACUCCUACGGGAGGCAGCAGUAGGGAAUCUUCGGCAAUGGACGAAAGUCUGACCGAGCAACGCCGCGUGAGUGAAGAAGGUUUUCGGAUCGGAAAAAUCUGUUGGUAGAGAAGAACGUUGGUGAGAGUGGAAAGCUCAUCAAGUGACGGUAACUACUCAGAAAGGGACGGCUAACUACGUG
Molecule: ribosomal RNA, 497 nt
Filed under: uncultured bacterium
Lineage: Bacteria
Description: partial 16S ribosomal RNA
Rfam family: Bacterial small subunit ribosomal RNA
Source: RNAcentral